AGCUUGUAUUUGGCUCAAACGCAAAUCGCGCUCCUGAAAAACAAAAGGUUUUAUAUCUCUAUACAUGCUAAUAUUCAUAAUCUUUAUUUCUUCUCUCUUUUCCUUUUCCAUGCUAAUACAAAUUCGACUGUUUAUACCUCGGUUUCUAUUGUAUCUCACUCUCUUAAUGCUCCUUUCCAUAUGCAGGAACCCGUGAAAGAGGAACCUGAAAAGAAAGAAGAACCCAAGUUUCAUGCUUUCUCUGGGAAAAAGUAUUCUUUGAGGGGUUAAUUGUGAUAUAAUGACGUUCUGUCUAUUUACCUUCUAUGUAUUAACCAUUUCUUUUGCCAGCCAAAUAUCUGAAUUAUGUUUAACUUAUUAUAUAAUCUAUAAAAAUUAGGAGUAAUCUUGAAAACGGUUGGCUGUCGUAGGCUCUCUUAUAAAGCAUGGAGUAAUUUGUUCAGACACUCUAAUUGCCUUUUGAUCACCGC
This 470-nucleotide long non-coding RNA is filed under the name Nicotiana tabacum (common tobacco). RNAcentral describes it as "long non-coding RNA (NTAB_LNC011188)". Lineage: Eukaryota; Viridiplantae; Streptophyta; Magnoliopsida; Solanales; Solanaceae. The record is from RNAcentral.